Molecule: non-coding RNA, 74 nt
Organism: Parelaphostrongylus tenuis
Lineage: Eukaryota; Metazoa; Nematoda; Chromadorea; Rhabditida; Metastrongylidae
Source: the annotation of a GenBank genome assembly
GCUUCGGUAUUGUAGUGGUAGUAACACGCGUCUCCGGUAUGGAAGAAAGGUGGUUUCGAUUCCCGCCUGAGGCC